AAGCCUGAUCCAGCAAUGCCGCGUGUGUGAAGAAGGCCUUCGGGUUGUAAAGCACUUUUGUCCGGAAAGAAAUCCUUGGCUCUAAUACAGUCGGGGGAUGACGGUACCGGAAGAAUAAGCACCGGCUAACUACGUGCCAGCAGCCGCGGUAAUACGUAGGGUGCGAGCGUUAAUCGGAAUUACUGGGCGUAAAGCGUGCGCAGGCGGUUUGCUAAGACCGAUGUGAAAUCCCCGGGCUCAACCUGGGAACUGCAUUGGUGACUGGCAGGCUAGAGUAUGGCAGAGGGGGGUAGAAUUCCACGUGUAGCAGUGAAAUGCGUAGAGAUGUGGAGGAAUACCGAUGGCGAAGGCAGCCCCCUGGGCCAAUACUGACGCUCAUGCACGAAAGCGUGGGGAGCAAACAGGAUUAGAUACCCUGGUAGUCCACGCCCUAAACGAUGUCAACUAGUUGUUGGGGAUUCAUUUCCUUAGUAACGUAGCUAACGCGUGAAGUUGACCGCCUGGGGAGUACGGUCGCAAGAUUAAAACUCAAAGGAAUUGACGGGGACCCGCACAAGCGGUGGAUGAUGUGGAUUAAAUUCGAUGCAACGCGAAAAACCUUACCUACCCUUGACAUGGUCGGAAUCCUG
RNAcentral lists this ribosomal RNA (629 nucleotides) under Burkholderia sp. IBa336. Its description in RNAcentral is "bacterial SSU rRNA". It matches the Rfam family "Bacterial small subunit ribosomal RNA", at positions 379 to 1000 of the family's 1533-position model. The record is from RNAcentral. Lineage: Bacteria; Pseudomonadati; Pseudomonadota; Betaproteobacteria; Burkholderiales; Burkholderiaceae.